UUUUGAGAAUUAUCUUUAUGAUAAUGAUAAUAUGGUAAAGAUUUCACAAUUCUGGAUGCUUUACAAGUUUUAACGAGCCGCGAGAGUGGACACCGGUUGUUUUGUUUGACCCAAAGUGACAUACAGCAGUAAUGAAAUGAGUGAUUACACUCUCCCCAAACAACGACACAAUCCUGGCGACCGUCAAAAUCCUUUUUGCUUUCAGCUUGACAACGUAAACAUGCGUCUGCGUUGUCAUUGCUAACUGGCGAAGCUUAGACAAGUUAAAUCUCAUUUCAAGCGCUUGAUUUCGAAUUAAUAUGAUAUUGUCUAAGAAACAAUGACCGAUGGAGCUUGAGAUGAAGAGCAAACAUAAUAGUAUAUAAUAUGUGACAAUAAAUAAAACACACUGACCUAAAAU
RNAcentral lists this long non-coding RNA (400 nucleotides) under Cotesia glomerata. Its description in RNAcentral is "uncharacterized LOC123263140, transcript variant X3". The record is from RNAcentral. Lineage: Eukaryota; Metazoa; Arthropoda; Insecta; Hymenoptera; Braconidae.